ACCUUAGAUGUUCUGGGCUGCACGCGUGCUACACUGAUAUUGCCAAUAUGUCAUUCUUAUCCGAAAUGGAUUGGGUAAUCAAGUAAUGAAAUUUCAUGCUUGGAAUCGGUAAUUGCAAUUUUAUCGUGAACGAGGAAUUCCUAGUAAGCACUAGUCAUCAGCUAAUGUUGAUUAUGUCCCUGCCCUUUGUACACACCGCCCGUCGCUACUACUGAUUGGGUGUUCAAGUGAGAUGCUUAGACCCUUGUUGCAUGGUUCAUUAUUGUGCUCCGAAAGGAAAAAGUUUCAAGCUUGAGUGUCUAGAGGAAGUAAAAGUCGUAACA
Molecule: ribosomal RNA, 323 nt
Filed under: uncultured eukaryote
Lineage: Eukaryota
Description: partial 18S ribosomal RNA
Rfam family: Eukaryotic small subunit ribosomal RNA
Source: RNAcentral